RNAcentral lists this transfer RNA (62 nucleotides) under Podarcis lilfordi (Lilford's wall lizard). Its description in RNAcentral is "tRNA.Undet". The record is from RNAcentral. Lineage: Eukaryota; Metazoa; Chordata; Lepidosauria; Squamata; Lacertidae.
GAAGGGCAUAGCUCAGUGGUGGAGCAUGCAGAAGGUUCCAGGUUCAAUUCCUGGCAACUUCA